AGAGAAUUAGUUUAAUUAAAAUAUUUGAUUUCGACUCAAAAGCACGUGGUUAGACUCCACGAUCCUCUA
Molecule: transfer RNA, 69 nt
Filed under: Halicampus grayi (Gray's pipefish)
Lineage: Eukaryota; Metazoa; Chordata; Actinopteri; Syngnathiformes; Syngnathidae
Also listed under: 1 other name
Description: tRNA-Arg
Rfam family: tRNA
About the family: Transfer RNA (tRNA) molecules are approximately 80 nucleotides in length.
Source: RNAcentral